AGUGAACGCUGGCGGUAGGCCUAACACAUGCAAGUCGAACGGCAGCACAGUAAGAGCUUGCUCUUACGGGUGGCGAGUGGCGGACGGGUGAGGAAUACAUCGGAAUCUACUUUUUCGUGGGGGAUAGCGUAGGGAAACUUACGCUAAUACCGCAUACGACCUACGGGUGAAAGCAGGGGAUCUUCGGACCUUGCGCGAUUGAAUGAGCCGAUGUCGGAUUAGCUAGUUGGCGGGGUAAAGGCCCACCAAGGCGACGAUCCGUAGCUGGUCUGAGAGGAUGAUCAGCCACACUGGAACUGAGACACGGUCCAGACUCCUACGGGAGGCAGCAGUGGGGAAUAUUGGACAAUGGGCGCAAGCCUGAUCCAGCCAUACCGCGUGGGUGAAGAAGGCUUUCGGGUUGUAAAGCCCUUUUGUUGGGAAAGAAAAGCAGCAGGUUAAUACCCCGCUGUUCUGACGGUACCCAAAGAAUAAGCACCGGCUAACUUCGUG
This 492-nucleotide ribosomal RNA is filed under the name uncultured bacterium. Its description in RNAcentral is "partial 16S ribosomal RNA". It matches the Rfam family "Bacterial small subunit ribosomal RNA", at positions 29 to 507 of the family's 1533-position model. The record is from RNAcentral.